GCUAGCAUGGUUUAGUGGUUUGAGCAUUGGACUAUGACUCUGAAAACCAGGGUUCGAAUCCUGGAUCAGCC
This is a non-coding RNA of Phrynosoma platyrhinos (Desert horned lizard), 71 nucleotides long. NCBI's taxonomy places the organism in Eukaryota, Metazoa, Chordata, Lepidosauria, Squamata, Phrynosomatidae. The record is from the annotation of a GenBank genome assembly.